Molecule: ribosomal RNA, 253 nt
Filed under: uncultured bacterium
Lineage: Bacteria
Description: partial 16S ribosomal RNA
Rfam family: Bacterial small subunit ribosomal RNA
Source: RNAcentral
UACGUAGGGUGCAAGCGUUGUCCGGAAUUAUUGGGCGUAAAGAGCUCGUAGGCGGUUUGUCGCGUCUGCUGUGAAAACUCGGGGCUUAACUCCGGGCCUGCAGUGGGUACGGGCAGACUAGAGUGCGGUAGGGGAGACUGGAAUUCCUGGUGUAGCGGUGGAAUGCGCAGAUAUCAGGAGGAACACCGAUGGCGAAAGCAGGUCUCUGGGCAGUAACUGACGCUGAGGAGCGAAAGCGUGGGUAGCAAACGGG